This 705-nucleotide long non-coding RNA is filed under the name Dasypus novemcinctus (nine-banded armadillo). RNAcentral's name for it is "lncRNA (ENSDNOG00000050778.1)". The record is from RNAcentral. Lineage: Eukaryota; Metazoa; Chordata; Mammalia; Cingulata; Dasypodidae.
GAGAAGUGGACUUGUCUGCCAGAAGAGAAGCAUCCCUCCAAACAGGAAGUGUGCUCAGUCUCAGACGGACUAGAGAAAAAUGCAGAGAGGGUGCCUUCCUACUUUUUCCAUCCUGGGGAAAGUUUGAACCACAAAACCACAAAGAAUAAAAUAUUGCUGGUCAAUGGAAACAUUCACUUUUGGAAAUCAGGAAGUCAAUCUGCUGCUCCAGAAGUGUUGUCCGUGAACGCUGCCCCAGCUUUGGAGGUCCUUCAGGAGAGGGACCCAGUUGGCCUAAGGCCAUCAUCUGGACCAGUGACCAUUGUGUGGCACCCAGAGAGGAGGAUUACAUAUGACCAGCACCAGGUCACUGGAAGAAGGAGACAUGGAAGGAUAACUGGCAAUGGAAAGCUUUCUUCCCAGACAUCUGUGAACCUCAGACCUCAAAAACAACCUAUAUGGGAAUUCUCUCUAAGCUUGCUGAAAAUAAACCUUUUUUAAAGAAAAAAUCUGGAGGCAUUUGUGCCUUAAUGUGUGGAGAAAUGCAUUAAUUUUACAGAGAGAGGUGAAAUGGAGGACUCUAGAAAGACAGAGAGUCUCUUUUUACACCCUCUUUCCAUUCUUUAUUUUCUCUCUCUUUCUCUCCUUUUAUCAUUCACACAUUGAUGCAUAUAGAUUAAAUGUAAUUUUAUAUAAUACAUGCAGUAUAUUAUAAUAAUAUAAUAU